Molecule: long non-coding RNA, 1066 nt
Organism: Salvia miltiorrhiza (redroot sage)
Lineage: Eukaryota; Viridiplantae; Streptophyta; Magnoliopsida; Lamiales; Lamiaceae
Exons: 4
Source: RefSeq, a predicted model, not a curated record
CCCAACUCCAACCCUAUUCCCCUUAUCUCUCCUGCGCCGCGCCCCCUCCCAUCUCACUAUCUCUCUCUCAGAUUUCAGCUAUCUCUUUCAGAUUUCCCGCAAAGCAACGGCGAUAGCAGCAGAGUCGCCGCCGCCGCUCGUCCUUCCCGGCAAAGCAACGGCGAUAAGCCGCUGACACGCCCGGCUCUCCCUUCUCUCUCUCGGCGGCAUCACCGCCUCAUCUCCUUUACCCCUCUGACUUAGAUCGGCGACGGUGAGAGCCUCCGCCGUCUGAGCCCUAGCCCCAAUCACGGCUCCCACAGAAUCCGCCGCCGCCAGCCACGCCGCCUCCUCCUCCUGACUCCUACCGACGACACUAGCGCCGCCGUCCUCACUCUCCUCUCCCCCAGAUCUGACAAAAUCUCUCUCUCUCUUUCCAACAAACUUCGGCGGACGACAGCAGCCCUCCUCCGGCUGCCGCCACCGCUCGUUCUCCCCUUCAAAUCUUCAACCGACAGCAGCAGAGUCGCGGCCGCCACCGUCCGUCUGCCUUGACGGUGGUGGAGGAAUUUUUGGUGGUUUGGAGGCGGAGUGAGGAAGGUUUGGAGUUGGUGGAUGGGAGAGGCGCCGCGCGUCGGGCAGAUCUCGCUCCCAUGGAUUCAAAUUGUCAUCGUGAACACCAUCCGAAAGUUCAAUUCCCCUCGAGAGAAACGCUGCAAAUUGAUCUGCGUGAGGUAGAGAAUGUCAGGGAAAGGAGAAAAUGGGUUGUUGACGGGGAAAACUCCGGCUUCGAAAGACAAGGAUAAGGACAAGAAGAAACCCAUCACUCGCUCUUCCCGCGCCGGGCUUUAGAAAGACAAUAUAAGGAAUCAACGUGAGCAUGUUGUGCUUACUUUAGCCAACUCACAGUCGCGACUGGGCAUCCAAUAGAAACUGAUCUAGUUACUGCCUCAAUUAAGUUUGCUUGUCAGUUAUGUUUCAAUGUAAUAUAGGAUGAUGAGCAAUGUUUCAAUGUAAUAUAGGAUGAUGAACAAUGUUUCAAUAGGAUGAUGUUUGAGUUUAAUGUAUGAAUUCUAUUAUUAAUUUA